RNAcentral lists this ribosomal RNA (648 nucleotides) under Triticum aestivum (bread wheat). RNAcentral describes it as "partial small subunit ribosomal RNA". The record is from RNAcentral. Lineage: Eukaryota; Viridiplantae; Streptophyta; Magnoliopsida; Poales; Poaceae.
AUGGCAGCCCUUGAUCGCAACAGCGCUCCCGGCCCCGACGGGCUAGGGCCCGCCUUCUACAAAGCUGCUUGGGUGACCGUGGCGUCCGAUCUUCAUCGCCUGUUCGACGAGUUCCACUCUGGGGCGGCUCGCCUGGACGGGAUCAACCGCGCCUUCAUCGCGCUGCUCCCGAAAGGCUCCGGUGUGCCAUCCCCGGCGUCCUUCCGCCCCGUCUCCCUGCAAAAUUGCGACAUCAAAAUCCUCUGCCGUGGGCUUACGUCGCGGCUCCAGCAGCAGAUCUCUCAUCUCAUUGACGAGGAUCAAUCCGGCUUCGUCCGUGGGCGAAGCAUCUCGGAGAACUUCAUCUACGCCACCGAGCUGGUGCAAUGCUGUCACCGGAGGCGAGCUGCCACCUUGGUGCUGAAGCUCGAUUUUGCGAAGGCUUUCGACUCCAUCAACUGGGAAAGCCUGCGCAAGAUCAUGGCGGUGCGUGGGUUUCCGCCCCUCUGGUGCGACUGGAUGGACACCCUCUUCCACUCCUCACGCUUGGCGGUCUUGCUCAACGGCGUACCGGGGCGCUGGUUCCAGGUCAAAUGCGGCCUCCGGCAAGGGGACCCCAUCUCCCCGUACUUCUUCCUCAUGGUGGCCGAUGUGCUUCAGCGGCUCAUA